GCGGCGGACGGGUGAGUCGGCGGGGGUCACCUGCCCAUACCUGUGGGAUAACUCCGGGAAACCGGGGCUAAUACCGGAUAACAUUUUGAACCGUAUGGAUCGAAAGUGAAAGGCGGCUUCGGCUGUCACUUGUGGAUGGACCCGCUGGRCAUUAGCUGCUUGGUGAGGUAACGGCUCACCCGGCAACGAUGGSCACCCGACCUGAGAGGGCGAUCGGGCAGAUCGGGACUGAUACACACUGCCACACUCCUACGGGAGGUACCGGUGGGGAAUCUUCGGCAUUGGACGAAAUGCUGACGGAUCAACGCCACGUGAGUGACGAGACUUUCGGGGCUUAAAACUCUGUUGACUCGGAAGAACAAGUGCUACUUGAAUGAGCUGGACCCUUGACCGUACCUAACCAUAAAGCCACGGAUAACUAC
Molecule: ribosomal RNA, 422 nt
Filed under: Bacillus thuringiensis
Lineage: Bacteria; Bacillati; Bacillota; Bacilli; Caryophanales; Bacillaceae
Description: bacterial SSU rRNA
Rfam family: Bacterial small subunit ribosomal RNA
Source: RNAcentral